UACGUAGGUGGCAAGCGUUAUCCGGAAUUAUUGGGCGUAAAGCGCGCGCAGGCGGUUUCUUAAGUCUGAUGUGAAAGCCCACGGCUCAACCGUGGAGGGUCAUUGGAAACUGGGGAACUUGAGUGCGGAAGAGAAAAGCGGAAUUCCACGUGUAGCGGUGAAAUGCGUAGAGAUGUGGAGGAACACCAGUGGCGAAGGCGGCUUUUUGGUCUGUAACUGACGCUGAGGCGCGAAAGCGUGGGGAGCAAACAGG
Molecule: ribosomal RNA, 253 nt
Filed under: uncultured bacterium
Lineage: Bacteria
Description: partial 16S ribosomal RNA
Rfam family: Bacterial small subunit ribosomal RNA
Source: RNAcentral